RNAcentral lists this long non-coding RNA (1525 nucleotides) under Dasypus novemcinctus (nine-banded armadillo). RNAcentral describes it as "lncRNA (ENSDNOG00000050129.1)". Lineage: Eukaryota; Metazoa; Chordata; Mammalia; Cingulata; Dasypodidae. The record is from RNAcentral.
GUCACGCGGCGGCCAGGCCUUUUUCACGUGAUCGCCAGGGGUUUCUCAAUGAAAGGGCCUUGAGGCGGCGCCUGAGCGCGUGCCCGUCGGGUAGUAGGUCGCUGCGCUCUCGCACUUAAUCCGCCCGCCUGGGAGGCUGCGCCCUGCGCGGGUUUAACCCAUGCGAGUGUCGCGCGCUCCGGGCCCAGGGAUCGCGUUAAAACGUCUGGGUUCGGAGUUCGCAAGCGAAGCCGAGGAGAACAGCACGUGUAGUCUGUAAUUUACUUUUUAAAAAUUGGAUGUAUAACCCAGCAUUUCCGCUUCCUGGUGUCUACUUAAGAGUAACAGUCUCACGACGCAUGAAAAAGGCUUGUACGAGGAUGCUCGUGGCAACGAUGCUUGUAAUAGCGGAAAAUUGAGAUCAGUAGGGGAUGGAAAAACAAAUCAUGGAGCAUUCCUGCUAUAGAAUAUAAUGCAGUCGUGACGAGGGGUGAGGUAUAUCCCCGUGAGAAACCCUGCAAGGCGCAGUCAGCAAAAGAGGCAAAUUGGAUUGAAACACUGGCAAUUUCCUCCAUGAAGUCUUCCCUGAUUGUUUCAGCCUUUAUGUUCUUUACCUUCUCUGGAAUUCUUGUAAAAUGUACAGACUGCAUCCCACUGGCAAGGGUUCAUCAACUCCACAGUAAAUGCUCAUCUUCACAAGGUAAUUAUGAAGACUAAAUGUGUUAAAAUACAUAAAAUGUCUGAGGUAGUGCUACAUAAUAUUCACUGCAAUUAUUAGUAUUAUUUUACUGUCUUAUAUUUUUAUUAUUAUUUUAAUUUUUAUUGUGGCUAUGAAACAGCCUUGCAUUUUUUAUAACAAAAAUGACAUCUGAUAUUUUUUUGACACUUGCUAAUGCACCAGGCUGUGAGCUAAGUGCUUUACAACAUUAUCUCCUUAAAUUUUCACAAUUAGCCACUGAGGUAAACAAUAUUAUUCCCAGUUAACACAUGAGGAAACAGGUUUAGAAUACUUAAGUAACUUGCCCAAGAUUACCCAGUUUAUCCAGAGGAGGUUGAAUUUGAAUUCAGCAGAGUCUGUCUGACUCCAGAGCUUCAGCUUAUGAAGUAACAGUCGCCCAUUAGAGGGAGAAAAAAUCGGAAAAAACAGAAAAGUGGAAAUGAAAAUGGUGCCACUGGACACACUCAAAAGCAUUGUAUUAACAUUUUGAGGCAUUUCUUUCUUUUUUAAUAACGGCUAUAUUGAGAUAUAAUUCAUAUACUAUAAAAGUCAUACUUUUAAAGUGUACAUUUGAGCAGUUUAUUGUAUUUACAGAGUUAAGCAACCAUCACAACCAUUUAAUUUUAGAAUUUUUCUUCACCCCCAAAAAGAAAUCCUAUACCAUGCAGCCAGUCCACAUUCCACCCUCCCUCCACACCCUGGUAACUUACUUUCUGUCUCUAUGGAUUUGCCUAUUCUAAACACUUCAUAAAAACAGAAUCAUACAACACGUGACCUUUUGUAUCUGGCUUCUUCAUUUAGCAUAGUGGUUUCAAGUUUCACCCAUGC